GAUGAACGCUAGCUACAGGCUUAACACAUGCCAGUCGAGGGGCAGCAUGGUCUUAGCUUGCUAAGGCCGAUGGCGACCGGCGCACGGGUGAGUAACACGUAUCCAACCUGCCGUCUACUCUUGGACAGCCUUCUGAAAGGAAGAUUAAUACAAGAUGGCAUCAUGAGUCCGCAUGUUCACAUGAUUAAAGGUAUUCCGGUAGACGAUGGGGAUGCGUUCCAUUAGAUAGUAGGCGGGGUAACGGCCCACCUAGUCUUCGAUGGAUAGGGGUUCUGAGAGGAAGGUCCCCCACAUUGGAACUGAGACACGGUCCAAACGCCUACGGGAGGCAGCAGUGAGGAAUAUUGGUCAAUGGGCGAGAGCCUGAACCAGCCAAGUAGCGUGAAGGAUGACUGCCCUAUGGGUUGUAAACUUCUUUUAGAAAGGAAUAAAGUCGGGUAUGGAUACCCGUUUGCAUGUACUUUAUGAAUAAGGAUCGGCUAACUCCGUG
RNAcentral lists this ribosomal RNA (490 nucleotides) under uncultured bacterium. RNAcentral describes it as "partial 16S ribosomal RNA". It matches the Rfam family "Bacterial small subunit ribosomal RNA", at positions 28 to 507 of the family's 1533-position model. The record is from RNAcentral.